Molecule: unclassified non-coding RNA, 348 nt
Filed under: soil metagenome
Description: partial contains 5.8S ribosomal RNA, internal transcribed spacer 2, and large subunit ribosomal RNA
Rfam family: 5.8S ribosomal RNA (bases 1-120)
Source: RNAcentral
GAUGAAGAACGUAGCGAAAUGCGAUAAGUAAUGUGAAUUGCAGAAUUCAGUGAAUCAUCGAGUCUUUGAACGCACAUUGUGCCCCCUGGUAUUCCGGGGGGCAUGCCUGUCCGAGCGUCAUUGCUGCCCUCAAGCACGGCUUGUGUGUUGGGCCCCCGUCCCCGGUUUCCCCCGGGGACGGGCCCGAAAGGCAGCGGCGGCACCGCGUCCGGUCCUCGAGCGUAUGGGGCUUUGUCACCCGCUCUGUAGGCCCGGCCGGCGCCAGCCGACACCCAACUUUAUUUCUAAGGUUGACCUCGGAUCAGGUAGGGAUACCCGCUGAACUUAAGCAUAUCAAUAAGCGGAGGA